UACGUAGGGGGCAAGCGUUGUCCGGAUUUAUUGGGCGUAAAGCGCGCGUAGGCGGUUUCUUAAGUCUGAUGUGAAAUCUUGCGGCUCAACCGCAAGCGGUCAUUGGAAACUGGGGAACUUGAGUGCAGAAGAGGAGAGUGGAAUUCCACGUGUAGCGGUGAAAUGCGUAGAGAUGUGGAGGAACACCAGUGGCGAAGGCGACUCUCUGGUCUGUAACUGACGCUGAGGUGCGAAAGCGUGGGUAGCGAACAGGAUUAGAAACCCCCGUAGUCC
This 273-nucleotide ribosomal RNA is filed under the name uncultured bacterium. Its description in RNAcentral is "partial 16S ribosomal RNA". It matches the Rfam family "Bacterial small subunit ribosomal RNA", at positions 524 to 796 of the family's 1533-position model. The record is from RNAcentral.